RNAcentral lists this ribosomal RNA (300 nucleotides) under Triticum aestivum (bread wheat). Its description in RNAcentral is "partial small subunit ribosomal RNA". Lineage: Eukaryota; Viridiplantae; Streptophyta; Magnoliopsida; Poales; Poaceae. The record is from RNAcentral.
AUGGAGAAAUUUAAAGGGAUGGCAAAAGAGUUGAAAGGGCCCGAGUAUGAUGUGACAACAGAGCCUCUUGACCAAGCGUUGGUCAUGAUCUCUGGAGAAGGCAGGAAACAUGGCAAGGAAGCAAUUGCAGGAGGCAUGUUCCCUAGUUCCUCCCGUAGCUCUCUCCCUGAAUACAAAGCUCGGUUAGGUAUCUCAAAAUCUUCUACAUGUAAACGCUCGACUUCAACUAUGGUUGAGAUGGAGGCGAGACUGGCGGAGUUGAGGCGAGUGGCGGCGGAGGAGAGGGCGGAGGAGAGGUGA